GCAACAGCUCUACAAUGAACAAGCAUCUCAUCAAGUGUAAUAGGCAAAGUGGUGUCAUGCCCAUGAACUACCAUAGAUGCUGAGUCACCCACAAGACAUAUAUCAAUUCCAGCCAUAUCUAUAUGAACACCCGAUGGGUAAUCAUAACCCGUCACCAUUGUUAUAGGCUCCCCCUUUUUAUGCUUUUGCCUUAGACUCGUUAGUGUCACUCUUUGAUUUGGGUUUUGGGGUCUGUUAUAGGCUCCCCCUUCUUAUGUUUUUGUCUUAGACUCGUUAGCGUCACUCUUUGAUUUGGGUUUUGGGAUUUUGGCCCACCAUAUACAGUGUUUUCUGGAACAUUACUCAUGUACCUGAAUUUUC
This 360-nucleotide long non-coding RNA is filed under the name Nicotiana benthamiana. RNAcentral describes it as "long non-coding RNA (NBEN_LNC032652)". Lineage: Eukaryota; Viridiplantae; Streptophyta; Magnoliopsida; Solanales; Solanaceae. The record is from RNAcentral.